UCCUACGGGUGGCUGCAGUAGGGAAUCUUCCACAAUGGACGAAAGUCUGAUGGAGCAACGCCGCGUGAACGAUGAAGGCUUUCGGGUCGUAAAGUUCUGUUGUAAGGGAAGAACAAGUGCCGCAGGCAAUGGCGGCACCUUGACGGUACCUUGCGAGAAAGCCACGGCUAACUACGUGCCAGCAGCCGCGGUAAUACGUAGGUGGCAAGCGUUGUCCGGAAUUAUUGGGCGUAAAGCGCGCGCAGGCGGCCUCUUAAGUCUGAUGUGAAAGCCCCCGGCUCAACCGGGGAGGGCCAUUGGAAACUGGGAGGCUUGAGUAUAGGAGAGAAGAGUGGAAUUCCACGUGUAGCGGUGAAAUGCGUAGAGAUGUGGAGGAACACCAGUGGCGAAGGCGACUCUUUGGCCUAUAACUGACGCUGAGGCGCGAAAGCGUGGGGAGCAAACAGGAUUAGAUACCCUUGUAGUCACC
RNAcentral lists this ribosomal RNA (469 nucleotides) under uncultured Exiguobacterium sp. Its description in RNAcentral is "bacterial SSU rRNA". It matches the Rfam family "Bacterial small subunit ribosomal RNA", at positions 337 to 798 of the family's 1533-position model. The record is from RNAcentral. Lineage: Bacteria; Bacillati; Bacillota; Bacilli; Caryophanales.